UUUCACUUGUUGGUGGGGUAAUGGCCUACCAAGGCGACGACGGGUAGCCGGCCUGAGAGGGCGACCGGCCACACUGGGACUGAGACACGGCCCAGACUCCUACGGGAGGCAGCAGUGGGGAAUAUUGCACAAUGGGCGAAAGCCUGAUGCAGCGACGCCGCGUGAGGGAUGACGGCCUUCGGGUUGUAAACCUCUUUCAGCAGGGAAGAAGCGAAAGUGACGGUACCUGCAGAAGAAGCGCCGGCUAACUACGUGCCAGCAGCCGCGGUAAUACGUAGGGCGCAAGCGUUGUCCGGAAUUAUUGGGCGUAAAGAGCUCGUAGGCGGCUUGUCACGUCGGAUGUGAAAGCCCGAGGCUUAACCUCGGGUCUGCAUUCGAUACGGGCUAGCUAGAGUGUGGUAGGGGAGAUCGGAAUUCCUGGUGUAGCGGUGAAAUGCGCAGAUAUCAGGAGGAACACCGGUGGCGAAGGCGGAUCUCUGGGCCAUUACUGACGCUGAGGAGCGAAAGCGUGGGGAGCGAACAGGAUUAGAUACCCUGGUAGUCCACGCCGUAAACGUUGGGAACUAGGUGUUGGCGACAUCCACGUCGUCGUGCCGAGCACGCAGGUUCGC
Molecule: ribosomal RNA, 611 nt
Filed under: Streptomyces sp. E37(2010)
Lineage: Bacteria; Bacillati; Actinomycetota; Actinomycetes; Kitasatosporales; Streptomycetaceae
Description: bacterial SSU rRNA
Rfam family: Bacterial small subunit ribosomal RNA
Source: RNAcentral